This is a non-coding RNA of Durio zibethinus, 2682 nucleotides long. Lineage: Eukaryota; Viridiplantae; Streptophyta; Magnoliopsida; Malvales; Malvaceae. The record is from RefSeq and is a predicted model, not a curated record.
UUCUAACAAUUAGUAAAUGGCAACUGCAAUAACUGCACCAAACAUUACCUGACAAAAAAUCCCAACAAAUAAAAAAGAACAAAGAGACAAAACUUCCUUCGGAUGGGUUUCAUCAGCAUCAUUAAUUCAUCACCGUCACAUAUCCAACUCCGACAUUCCAUAGAACCCUAGCCUUCCAAAUUACCUCAAAAAUUAAAAAAAAAAACCUUAAUUUUUUUUUUUUUUUUAAGAAUUCCGAAAGAUGGCUUCGACGUCUCCAACGAACCGAUCCUCCUCCGAUGACAUCAUCGACACGACGCCGUUUCUCUCAUCAACAAGCGGCAUGUCACGGGACGAGUCCACCGCGCGUCGAUCCGUCCGUCGCCAGAGCCUUCGCGAAGCGGCUCGGUUCCUGCGCCGAGCGAGCAGCCGAAGAAUGAUCCGUGAGCCGUCCAUGCUGGUUCGAGAAACCGCCGCCGAGCAGCUUGAGGAGCGCCAGAGCGAUUGGGCAUAUUCGAAGCCCGUGGUUAUUCUCGAUAUCGUCUGGAAUUUCGCGUUCGUGGCGGUGGCACUUGGGGUUUUGGUUUUGAGCAGGGACGAGAGGCCCAAUAUGUCGUUGAGGCUGUGGAUAACUGGGUACGCUUUCCAGUGUUUGCUACAUAUGGUUUGUGUUUGUGUGGAAUAUAGGCGACGGAGGAGGCGGCAGAGCGUGCAGUACAGACCAAUUAGUGCUGGGGAGGAAGGGGCUUUGAGCCCAGGAUCGAGGGUGGAUUCAGAGCAAUACGUGACAUUGGCUCAGUUGGAACAGGAUAGUGGAAGCAGUGUUUCAAAGCACCUGGAAUCUGCAAAUACAAUGUUUUCAUUCAUCUGGUGGAUCAUUGGAUUCUACUGGGUAUCUGUAGGUGGCCAAGCAUUGGCACGUUGCUCCCCUCAGCUUUAUUGGCUUUGUAUAAUUUUUCUUGGUUUUGAUGUCUUCUUUGUGGUUUUCUGCGUUGCACUGGCAUGCAUCAUUGGCAUUGCUGUUUGCUGCUGUCUUCCAUGUAUUAUUGCAAUCCUUUAUGCUGUGGCAGAUCAGCAGGAAGGAGCUUCCAAGGAAGACAUUGAUCAGUUGUCAAAAUACAAAUUUCGAAAAAUUGGCGAUGAUGAGAAAUCUGCUGGUGAUGUCCAAGGACCUGUUGGGGGAAUAAUGACUGAAUGCGGUACUGAUUCCCCCAUGGAGCAUGUGCUUUCCCAGGAUGAUGCAAUUCAUUCCAGUUUAGGGGAUUUGGAUUUUCUUACUUCUGAUCCAGAUUUGGCUGGAUCUCCUCCUUGGCGUGUGCCUCCUUCAACUAUUGCCAGCAGAACUAGUGAACAUGCUUCAUCUUCAUCUGGUAGGCUGGAUUCUUUCAAGGUUAAGAGUGUUGAAACGUGUGGGGAUGACUAUGGUUUGAAAUACAAAGCAGAAACAGCUGUAGCUAGGGCUUCUUGAGGAAAUUCUGGAAUUCCUUCUCUUGGGUUACGUACCUUCAAAACAGGUAUUGAUUAGAUAAACUAAUAUUCCUUUUUGCACUUAAAAUUUACUUAGAAGCUCCUAAAACACUUAUGAAAAGAUUGUCUUAUUUUUAUUUCCAUCACGUAUUUACAUAUACUCAGAAUGUCAUAAGGAUGCUAAUAUUUGUGUUUUGAGUCCUGGCAUUUCUUGUUUCAAUAAAGUCUGAUACAUAGCUUCAGGACAUUAUUUGAGUGGUCUCCUCAUAUUCUCUGGUAUGCGAGAACAAGAGGUACUGGCUAUGAUUUUACUUGCUUCACAAAUUGGAAUUAUUUUGGGCUGACAGUGUUGAGCAAUGGUGCUCUGUCUAGCUAUGUCAAUUAACAGGUUCCUGCAAAAAGAUUGAACUGAACCUUUUAUUAGAAGUUGGUGGCCAUGUGCUCUUUUUGAAGCCAAUGGUUAGAAAGACUCGCAUGACCAUCUGCAUAUGCUGUGUGAUGGUUACUACCAUCCAUAUUCAAUAACCAACACUUUGUACAAAGGAAUUUUUCAUUGCUGUUGCAGAAGGCCUUCCGGAGUCAUUAGUUGAGUAGCAAGCAAAAUUCGCUUAACACAUUCUUCACAUGUGUUCUCUUCAGGCCUGAACUGUUAUUCAAAUGUUGAUGAGCCCAAGUGCGCUCAUUUCAAUGGGAUUACAUUCAAACAAACAUGGCCGUACUUGGGAGAUGAUCACACUUUAAUAUGAGUAUUAUGCCACCAGAAAGAUACGGAAGCAUCAAAGUUGUUAAAAAGUGGAAUAUCAGCCACCCAUGUCUUCAGGGGAUUCAACCUUGAGAUCACCUCUUAUAUCAGAUGUUCUUAAGUGAAGCACCUCAAUUUGUUGAAACAAGAAAGGUCAAAUUAGUUUUAAAUCAAUGAAAAAGAAAUUCAAGAAGCAACAAAUGGAAUCAGAAAUGUGGCAAGGUAAUGUAGCUGCUAAAUCAUGUUGUAUAAAGUCUUUAUUAGUCGUCGUGGCAUUUUGUAGCGUUUCCUUGUGCUUGGUAAUGAGUUGGCCCACAAAAAUCCAAUUCUUUUGUUGUUCUAUACACGUAAAAAUGUUAAUAGUGGUAACACUGGGUAGGACCUGGGCACCAUGCUAACAACUUGCCCGUGAAUGAAAUGCUGUCAAUAGAAAUUCGAGUAAAUCUACCGGGACAAACUGACAAUACUAAGAGACAGGCGAGGCCCGCCCUUAU